AUGCACAUAUCAUUGACCUGCUUCCUUUGCAUUGGCAAGCAGUGUUAUUUCUGAUGUGCUAAAGGAAUGUCUGAAGGCUAAUUAGCAGCUUCGUUUCAUUUAGUGUUGCUGCCAGUCUCCUUCGUACAAGC
Molecule: small nucleolar RNA, 131 nt
Organism: Anolis carolinensis (green anole)
Lineage: Eukaryota; Metazoa; Chordata; Lepidosauria; Squamata; Anolidae
Source: Ensembl